GGGGGGUUGGGGGUGUGUGGGCUUUCACCUACCUAUGUUUUAUGGAAAGAUUCAUGGCUUUCGUUAAUGUCUAAGAAAGAUUCGUGACUAAAAUACCGUGAAUAAUAACCAAAUCCCUUUGGAAAUGUUUCUCUACCCAUGAGAGAAAGCCAGAAGUUCUGAGCACAACCUCUCCCUGCUUCCUACAGCUCUGAAGUAUUAUGUACCUGCCUAUCAGACUGACAAAAUUUUUAAAGUCUGAUGUUAACAAUCAUUGGUGAGGAUGUGAAGAAACAAGACCUCAUGGUGAUGAGAAGAUAAAGAAAUACAACUACUUUAGAAAGCCAUUUGGUGAUGCAGAUCCAAAUGCCUUAUCUGUAAUUCAGAAACCCAGAAAGCUCUGAAAUCUGAAAGUUCUUUCUUAACUUAUUUGGUGGC
RNAcentral lists this long non-coding RNA (417 nucleotides) under Heterocephalus glaber (naked mole-rat). RNAcentral's name for it is "lncRNA (ENSHGLG00100036270.1)". Lineage: Eukaryota; Metazoa; Chordata; Mammalia; Rodentia; Bathyergidae. The record is from RNAcentral.